RNAcentral lists this ribosomal RNA (268 nucleotides) under uncultured bacterium. RNAcentral describes it as "partial 16S ribosomal RNA". It matches the Rfam family "Bacterial small subunit ribosomal RNA", at positions 57 to 305 of the family's 1533-position model. The record is from RNAcentral.
GCAAGUCGAACGAGAAACUCCGAGCUUGCUUGGGGGAGUAAAGUGGCGCACGGGUGAGUAACGCGUGGGUAACCUACCCUUGAAUCCGGGAUAACUCCGUGAAAACGGCGCUAAUACCGGAUAUCGUUCCAGAGACCUUGGUUUCUGGAAUGAAAGGUGACCUCUUCAUGAAAGUUGCCGUUCAGGGAUGGGCCCGCGUCCCAUUAGCUUGUUGGUGGGGUAAUGGCCUACCAAGGCCGCGAUGGGUAGCUGGUCUGAGAGGAUGAUC